UGCCUCUCGCUCUCAAGCAGUGGCUGAAGGGCUGCGAGGCUCAGGAUAUAGUGGUAGUGCUCCCGUGGGUGCUAUGCUGUGGCUUAUCAUGGUCGACUGUGUCGGUCAUUAUCAGACAAACAUGCAACUCCACCUCCUCAUCUGUCCAGACAAAAUUGUCAGCUUUUGUUGUUUGCUUUGCCAUGUUUUGUGCUAUUAGGGAGAGAAGUAGAAGGAAGGUUGUACGCUGCCGCGCAGACUUGGUGGAUCAAACUUCACACACUUUUGCGUCACCAUGUGCACGCUGAUU
Long non-coding RNA from Etheostoma spectabile (orangethroat darter), 289 nucleotides. RefSeq lists it as uncharacterized. The transcript is spliced from 3 exons. Lineage: Eukaryota; Metazoa; Chordata; Actinopteri; Perciformes; Percidae. The record is from RefSeq and is a predicted model, not a curated record.